CAGAGGAGAGGCUCCGCUCGGCCCGGGGAGGCACAGAGGCCCGCAGCUCGGGCGCUGACCCGGCCUCCGGGGGGCGUCUCCUCCGGGGCCAGGCGGAGGACCCCCCGAGAGCUUCGCCGUAACCGAUGGCUUAAAACAACAAGCCGGUCCUCCCCGCACAGCCCUGGUUCCGCAGGGAGACUCCAUGGGGUCUGACUUGCCAUUGCUCCUGCAUCCGGCCCCGGCCUCUCCCCGGGGUUUCCUGCCGCGCGGUUGGAUGCUGCGAGAACCAGACUGGCCACUCUGAAGUGCUGGAACAAGCCCAGGGAUUCCUGAGGCUGCUCUGAGUCCAUCCCUGGUCUUGGUCAGAGUCUUUUCCCCUCCUUUUUCUGGACCCUUCCAGAUGGUGAAAUACUGAAUGAAAGCGGAAAGGGCUGUGAGACUGUAAAGAGAGCCCUGAACAAGGAGUCAGUGUACCAGACUUUUAGUGCGAGGAGGACAGCUGUGGUGCGGGUCUGCAGAGAUGCUCUGGGAACAGCUGGUCUGGAAAGUGGCAUCACUCUGAUUUUUCCACUGAGACAAGGGGAGAGGGGCUGAUACUCACACUCAGUCUGGAAGGACUGGAAGGUUUCAGCCAGGAGAAGAGGAAGAAGGACAUCACUGACCGGGACAGCAUCACGUCCAAAAGCUGUCCUGAGGCCUUUCUGAAAAUAGUUCCUGCAGGGGAGAACAGAGGGCGUGGGAGGCUGUGACUGAGAGGAGGGUGUGGUUUGGACUCUGAUCUUCUGUGUCUCUUGAGGGGAUUUGGACUUCAUCCUGCCGAGCCUGAUGGGUUACUAUGACUGGCUCGGGUUACCAGCUCUUAACACGAGGGUGCAGGAGUCAUAGACUAUUCUACAGCAAGAAAUGUGUAUCUGUCUGGUGGUUGUGGGCAUUGGCGUCAUCAGACAGAUACAGUUUCUUCCUUUUCCUAGCUAUAAACUUAAAAAAAUAUAUUUAACCUCACUAAGCCUCAGUUUUCUCAUCAGUGAAAUGGGGAUUAUGGUAUGUGCUAUGAGAAUUAAAUGAAAUUAUGUAGGUCAAACCCUUUGCCUUUCUUCUGACAGUGACAAGUAGCUACUGUUAUCCUUACAAGUACUUUAUUGUGUAUGUGCAGGGCUACCAUGGAGUAACAAGGAACUAACUCCCUUCUGAUGCCUUCCCUUCUUCCCAUUAUGCUUGUUUGGCUUUUGACUGUUUAGAGGUCUUCUGCUUUUUUCCUCCUUCUCGACAUCACUUCCUUCCUUUAUGUCCCGGUUUUAUGACUUUAAUGUCAGUUUCAUCUUAACUCGCUUUCCUGUUCAGUUUGUUUGUUUCCCGGUCCAACCAGGGUCAGACCAUCUCCAAAUCCCCAGCCACGGCAUCGUGCUCUGUGAGCGCCACACAGUAGCGCAUAGCGUGUCCACCGGCCCCAUCACCUGCAUGCCCCGCGGCCGUGGCGCGCUGCCCAGCCCCCCGGACGCCUUCAACGCAGCCCAGGCCAGCCCCCCGCCCACUCCACAGUCCUUCCCACCCCUCAGAACCCAC
This is a long non-coding RNA of Dama dama (fallow deer), 1545 nucleotides long. RefSeq lists it as uncharacterized. The transcript is spliced from 3 exons. The record is from RefSeq and is a predicted model, not a curated record. NCBI's taxonomy places the organism in Eukaryota, Metazoa, Chordata, Mammalia, Artiodactyla, Cervidae.